This 235-nucleotide ribosomal RNA is filed under the name Metarhizium anisopliae. RNAcentral describes it as "5.8S ribosomal RNA". The stretch from base 2 to 155 matches the Rfam family "5.8S ribosomal RNA". Rfam says of the family: 5.8S ribosomal RNA (5.8S rRNA) is a component of the large subunit of the eukaryotic ribosome. It is transcribed by RNA polymerase I as part of the 45S precursor that also contains 18S and 28S rRNA. The record is from RNAcentral. Lineage: Eukaryota; Fungi; Ascomycota; Sordariomycetes; Hypocreales; Clavicipitaceae.
AAACUUUCAACAACGGAUCUCUUGGUUCUGGCAUCGAUGAAGAACGCAGCGAAAUGCGAUAAGUAAUGUGAAUUGCAGAAUUCAGUGAAUCAUCGAAUCUUUGAACGCACAUUGCGCCCGUCAGUAUUCUGGCGGGCAUGCCUGUUCGAGCGUCAUUACGCCCCUCAAGUCCCCUGCGGACUUGGUGUUGGGGAUCGGCGAGGCUGGUUUUCCAGCACAGCCGUCCCUUAAAUUA